This 87-nucleotide transfer RNA is filed under the name bacterium. Its description in RNAcentral is "tRNA-Leu". It matches the Rfam family "tRNA". From Rfam's summary of the family: Transfer RNA (tRNA) molecules are approximately 80 nucleotides in length. The record is from RNAcentral.
GCCCGGGUGGUGGAAUUGGUAGACACGCUGUCUUGAGGGGGCAGUGAACGAAAGUUCGUGCGAGUUCAAGUCUCGCCCCGGGCACCC